GCCCACUCUCUUCCUGGGGUACCACUGAGAAAACCACUUGGUCUCCGUGCAGCCAGCCUUCACUCUGGUGUGGUCUCCGCAGCAGUCCUCACCCCUCGCUUGGCACCUGCAGGCUCCACGCUGCCCUAAUCGGGGAAUUGACGCUUCAUCUUCUGUGCCUGGAUGGUUUGCAUCCCGGGUUAGCUCAUGACCUCAGCCCGGGCAGGGGCCACAGCCAUCCCCCGCCCCACCCUGUCCCUUGUUGCCUCCUUCCCUGUGAGAACUUGGACUCUGAGACUUCCCAGUCUGCCCACAGCAGAUACCUGCCCGCCCUGUGCAAGGGUCCCUUUGGAGCCCUUGGGGGGAGGGGAGCGCAGCCCCCAAACCCGUACGCUCCGGUUCCUGCCCUCGGAGAAUGAAAGUGUGGCAGCUAGCUGCCACAGGAGGUGGUGGUUCUGGAAGCUGACGGUAGUGAGUGUGGCAAGAGGACAGAGGAGGGAGCUCCAGGCCCACGUUUCCUCCUUUCUUCGGACCUCUAAACCGGAGUUUUGGUCGACUCUUGCACUUCCAGGAGUCUUCGGCUAAAUCCGCGUCUGUCCUCCUCUUCCCAGAUGUAUGCUCUUCUGUCCGUGACCUGCAUCACUGACGGCGCUGCCCGAGCCAGGGACCCUAGUUGGUCACCGAGUCUCAAAAGUGCUCACAGACGCCUGUGAAAUCCUGCUCCUCUCAUUCAUACGGCCUAGUCCAGGCUGUGCUCUGAUGAGCCACCCUCUUAUCUAGCGCAGGGGUCCGUCAGCUUUCUGCAAAAGGCUGGGUGGUGACCAUUUUAGGCGUUACAGGGUCAUGCGGCGUAUCACAGCCAUUCUCCUCUGCCCUGGCAACGCAGAAACAGCCACGGGCAGUCUGUAAACAAAUCUGUGUGUCUGUUCUGACAAAACUUUACUUACACAAAUAGGCAGCCGGCUGGAUUUGGCCGCUGACACGGUAGUUUGCCAAGCUCUGGUCUAGAGCACGGACGCAUACCCUUAAUCAGGCUGUGCUGGACGUGACUUUUCUAGAAGACCCCGGACGGUGCCGCACCCCUGCUCUGACACCCGCGUGGCUCCCAGAGGCCCAGGAGACCAGUGCAGCCAAAGCCCAUGACCAGCGAGAGGCUCAUUCUGCUGUUGGUAAAGUGGGGCCCACGAUACUGCUCUGCCUCGUGGCCGUUGGAUGGUCAGGCACGGGUGGAAGGGACUGAGCUGCUGUCUGCUCUGCAUAGUGUGGAUGUCGUCCACAGAAAGAACUCAGCCUGGGAAGACAGUUGCUGUUGUUUGCCAUCAGACUCCCAACCGGUACCAACUGAAAGUUGAAGGGCAGAGCUGUGACGCGCUAACAAAAGCUGUUGGUGUUCGGGAUACAGUGAAGAUAAUGCUGCUUAGCUAAACUUCUCAACUGGCAUGUUUUAACAUCACUGUCUGUCGUCUGUCGUCCAGGAAAUACCAUCUGUGGCCGCUAAGCUAAAUGCUACACCCCUGGAAAAGCUCACAGAUGCCCUCCACGUUUUCCGUGAUUGAGAUUUGGCUCUCUGGAUACCACUGCGGACAGGUUAACCAGAGCUUGGCUUCGUGACCCCCUAAUGGGGCGCGGUAAAGCCGGGCCCUUGCCCAGAAAAUCAGCCCUGUUUCCCAGAGUCCGUGACACUCGACCUUGGGUCGACUCUGUUUACUCCUGGAAUUUCUGAGAAGCAGUAAAGCACCGUGACAUGCCUCUGCCUCGUUGAUCCCUUAUAUAUUCUGACACCACCUGCUAAUCAGUCGAUGGCGGAAUUGCCUUGCGAUGCAGACUGAGGGAGGUUCAUGAAGUGGAACGGAGGAGUGGCUUACAGUGUUUAUUAAUGUAUGUGCUAAACAAAAGCUUCGCCUCUGGGCAUCCCGUUGCACGCUGGCUCCCUGCAGCCUGGAAUACUGAUGGCAUGUUGUCGCAACACUGACUCCAUUUUCCCAUGGCCUGGGAAGCCCUGAAACAACUCAGCCUUACCAAGAGGUUCUGUGAGUGUUUUGUAGUCGUCGCUCCAAAAUGUCAUUCCCAGAGAGGCACCAUGUAGGACAAGAGACUUCUCCCAAGCAAGGCCGGAGGGAGGCUUAGAAUCGGGCCCCGAACAGCCACGCACAGACCACGCACAGGCCCCCUCAUUCCUUUCUUUAGAUGAGGCGUUGGCAAACCUUCUCCCUAAAGGGCCGUAUGGUAAAUACGUUGGACUUUUGGGGUCACGCAGACUCUGUCGCAGCUCCUCAAGUCUGCCUUUGUAGCACGGAGGUAGCCUUAGACGUGAUGUAAACGGCCUCCCCAGAGAACGUGGAGCUUGGCAACCACGACCGCUGCCAUUGGGUUUUACUAAUGGUCGCUGCUGCUGUCUCUCCGAGAGGCCACGCCGGACAGGGGUUUCGGCGUCCGACGACUGUGUUCCGAGUCGGCCACGUCCGCUUACUGCAACGGGCCAGUGAGUGAGUCUCGGCCCCCCUGAGCCUCUGCGUCCUGCCCGUGAAGGUUGGGGUACUAACACCAGCGUGGAGUGUGGCCAUGAGACAGGAAAUGUAGAGAUUUUUUGGCCCGCUGAGACUGCAUAACCAUCUGCCAUAAAUUGAGACUAGUACGGCUUAUUUUGGUGAAUGCAAAAUUGGAUCCCAUUCUUUACCCUGUGGCUCGAUUCAACUUCCAGAUGGUUGAUCCACAUGAAGUAAUAGGAAUGCACCGCAACUCUGCUUAGCUGAAGAUGGAGACGUAAUAUUUAUUUGCCGAUGUGGAGGCCUCCGAACGCUGCCCUGUCGGGAUGUCGAUACAUAACACAGCAGCACAGAAAUGUCAGCUUGUUUCAUAGGAGCGACAGCCUUCCUCCGAGUUGCCAUGGGGGGACCCCCGGAUGUCUUUUUUUUUUUUUUUUUGGUCUGCCCUUGACCUAAUCUCAAGAGGUUUUGUUCUCUCCUGGGCUGUUUCUUAUCAGCUCUGUCUGCUCGUGUAGCCGGCUUCGCAUCUGCUUUGACUUUAGUGCCUGUGACGUUUUCAUUAAUACUUCUCCAAGGUUGAGCCUUUACUUCAAAUAUCCUGCAGCUCACGGAAGCCGUAGCUCAGCUGUGCCCAGCUAGGGGCCGCCGGGAAAUUUGGCUCCGCUUCAUCGACAAGCUCGGUCUUCUCCGCCCAGUUGGGCUCGUCAAUCCAUUUUCAUCUUUGCUUCUCCCCAACAUUAGCCUGAAGGGGAUCGAGGUCAGCAGAUUCGGGGUGCCUAGACCCAACUGGCACUUUUACACCCAAGACCGGCUCCUGUGCCUGGAUUACCUGCCCCCGGGCCAGCCAACCUUGCCCGCGCAAACUCCCCACCUACCUCAGGGAUGACUGGGGCUCAGGGCCUCCGGUCAGCUCCCACGAGACCCUGUGGACCGCCUACAUCUCAAUCACCUGGGGUUGCGUUUUAAAAAUGCAGACUCCUGGGGCACCUGGGUGGCUCAGUCGGUUGAGCGUCCGACUUCGGCUCGGGUCAUGAUCUCAUGUGGGUUGGAGC
Herpailurus yagouaroundi (jaguarundi) is the source of this 3517-nucleotide long non-coding RNA. RefSeq lists it as uncharacterized. The record is from RefSeq and is a predicted model, not a curated record. The transcript is spliced from 3 exons. NCBI's taxonomy places the organism in Eukaryota, Metazoa, Chordata, Mammalia, Carnivora, Felidae.